Vicia faba (fava bean) is the source of this 324-nucleotide non-coding RNA. The record is from the annotation of a GenBank genome assembly. NCBI's taxonomy places the organism in Eukaryota, Viridiplantae, Streptophyta, Magnoliopsida, Fabales, Fabaceae.
AUGCAUCUUCCGCCAUUGAUCAGCUUCCUGGUAUCGUCGAAGCUUCCAAUGCACGCAGAUCAGCUUCCUUCUUCCCUUAAAAAAAAAGCUUUCAGUUGUAUUCCUAAGUUUAUCAGUUAUCUGAUAGUAUUACCCCAACACUCCUUGAACUCCAAAUGCAUACACAGUUCAAAGCAAACAGAUAAAAAAAAAUCAAAGUAUAUUUUAUUUUAUUUUAUUUUUUCAACUGCAAGUAUAUGUGUAAGUGUAAGUGUAAGCUUAGCAGCUUAUGGUUUAUGGAAAAUCUUUUUACCCAGUAAUACUCUAGCAUCAAUCGCUUCUUAA